GUGAUCCCAACUCAACGACAGUGAUCCGAGGCUGGCUCUACAAACAGGAUAGCUCUGGACUUAAACUGUGGAAGAGAAGAUGGUUUGUGCUGUCGGAUUUCUGUUUGUUUUAUUACAGAGACAGUCGGGAAGAGAGAAUCCUGGGCAGUAUUCCGAUGCCAAGUUAUAUCGUCUCUGUUGUUGGACCACAGGAUCGGAUAACACGGAAAUUCACUUUCAAGGCAGAACACCCAGGAAUGAGAACUUAUUACUUCAGUGCUGACACCCAGGAGGAUAUGAAUGGCUGGAUCCGAGCUCUGAGCCAAUCAGCACGUG
This is a long non-coding RNA of Rhincodon typus (whale shark), 315 nucleotides long. RefSeq lists it as uncharacterized. NCBI's taxonomy places the organism in Eukaryota, Metazoa, Chordata, Chondrichthyes, Orectolobiformes, Rhincodontidae. The transcript has 4 exons. The record is from RefSeq and is a predicted model, not a curated record.